AAAUAUACACCUUGGUGUGUGAAUAGUUGAAUACGAUGAUUUCGUGUGUCAGAGACAACUAUUUGGCCUUCAGAAUUAACAGCCACAUCCCAAGGGUAAUUGAAUUGGCCUGGCCUAGAGCCCUUUUCACCAAAGGUCUACCACGAGGUAUGACAUGCCGUGGGAAGUUGGAUACUAUCCUAUUACUGCCCAUGGGAGUUUCUAUUGCCGCUGUCCGACCUCUUACAGAUCGAUGAUCUCCUAUGGGGCCUGGAUUUCCAAAAGUGACUGGUCCCACGGAGGCGAAUGAAUUUACCAAAUUGAUAUUUGAAUCUAGGAAUGACAUCCAGUCGUCGUCCCUGGGUACUACAGAAUUCUGAUAUUGACGAAUCUGAAGCACCUGAGCACAAAUAUAAGUAGAUUUUAGUCAUUUAUUAUCUGACCUAAUGGUCGAAGAUAUUGGAAAGAGCAAUAUACACCUUUUAUAUAUACAAAUUUUCACUGCCUUUAAUUGAUCGCCUGUGAUUGGCAAGUGGUUAAAAUAUUACAUUUUCUCAUAAUCACGAUGUACAUAUUGCUAAAUAAAAAGAAAAAAGAACUAA
This is a long non-coding RNA of Neodiprion virginianus, 581 nucleotides long. RefSeq lists it as uncharacterized. The transcript has 2 exons. The record is from RefSeq and is a predicted model, not a curated record. NCBI's taxonomy places the organism in Eukaryota, Metazoa, Arthropoda, Insecta, Hymenoptera, Diprionidae.